Long non-coding RNA from Hyaena hyaena (striped hyena), 637 nucleotides. RefSeq lists it as uncharacterized. The transcript has 4 exons. The record is from RefSeq and is a predicted model, not a curated record. Lineage: Eukaryota; Metazoa; Chordata; Mammalia; Carnivora; Hyaenidae.
AGGAGAAACACCAAUCAGAAAGGACUGGCGUUCACAUCUUGAAUCCUAAAAACGGUCAGGGAGUAAGCAGACACACUCUGUCAAAGAAGAAUCAUCAAGUCAUCUGGGAGCCCGGCCUGAGUAAACGCAGGGCAGCGAGGAUUGUUGCGAAAGGGCAUCUUUUUGCAGUCUGUUUGAGUUAGCCUUUGUAAAUCUACCACCUUUGUGAUUGCUUUCCUCUGCUUCGUGAUUCUGCAGCCGGACUCUGAGGAUGGCAUUUCUCCUUUGCCAGCUGGCUUGAUGCUGUGUUUUGUCAUGCAGAAGAUACCGAGGCUCACAAUGAGCCUGGAAGGUUUCUUCUGACAGCAGACUUAAAAUCACUGGCACCCGAAUCUUUGGCCCAGGCUCUUCUUUUGGUAGAGGGCAUCAAAGCACCCCCUAAGGCAUCACUCAGAGAAGGCUUCUGCCCAACUCUCACCCACACGACGAUCCAAAAACCCAAGGAAAGUGGUGUGUCCGCCUUCAAAACAACUUGAAUCUGAACAUCUAUGCUCGCACCAAAAGAAUAAUAGGUGUUUUUAUUCACCUUACAAAAGACUUUACAACAAGGUUCUAAAUACAGGGAACUCCGCUCGCACGCUCAAAAUAAAAUUACAAA